AUGAAAGACAAGAGACCUUACCAGAAUAGUUUCUCUUAUUUAACCUCACUUCAACCCUAUAGAGCAGCAAGGGUUAGAAUGACUUACCCAGAUCCUACACAAAGUCUUGUGAGUUUAACAAUCACAUUACUCAAUAAUGCCCAAAUAGUAGAAACAUUAAUGUUUUCUUCCUUGCGUUAUCCCUUUCUUCCCACUAUCAUUUUUUUCAAUUCUGUAAUGCACAACCUAAGUAUAGCUAGUUUUACAGUCUAGAUGAAUGAUUACUUCUGUUUUAGAACUGAAUGUAUAUUCAGUUCAUGAUGACACUGUUGAUUUGUUUUUCAGAUGCAGUGUCCUCAGCAUCCCUCCAAUGUAAUUUUUGCUCAUAUGUUUUUGUAUGUUUUAGAAAAACAACCCAGUGCCUCUAUGCAGUCAGACAAACCGAAGCUUUGGUUCAAGGUUGGCAGUGGUGUGUGGAUUUGCCAGCCAAUACCUAGCAGUUUUAUAUAAGAUAUCCUUACAGGUCUUCUCUUGCAUUGCAUACCUUCAAGUUGUUUCUGACUCAUGGUGACCCUAAGACAAGCCCAUCACAGGGGUUUUCUAGGACUGAAAGCACCUGACUAGCUCAAGAUCAGUGUGUGGGCUUCCAUGGCCAAAUGAGGAUUCAAACUCUAGUCUCCAGAGUUGUACCGCAUAUACUCAAGUAUAAGCUGAGUUUAAAGCCCCCCUUGGCUUAUACUCGAGUGAGGGUCCUGGUCAGCUUAUAAUCGGGUCAGCUUAUAUUUGAGUAUAUACGUAAUCAGAGUUUGACAGUCUUAUCUUAAAUUAUAUUUUUAUGUAAAUAUUCAAAAACAUUUAACCUACUGAUGCCUCAAUUAAUGUAAUUUUAUUGGUAUCUAUCUUUAUUUUUAUUUUUUAAAUUUACCAGUAGCUGCUGCAUUUCCCACCCGUGUCUUAUGCUCAAGUCAAUAAGUUUUCCCAGUUUUCUGUGGUAAAAUUAGGUGCCUCAGCUUAUGUUCGGGUCGGCUUAUAUGUAAAUAUACACAGUAAUUUAGCACUCAAACCAUUACGCCACACUGGCUCUACAGCACUGUUGUCAGAAACUUAGGAUAAAGGAACUACCGUAAUGGUCACAGCAUAUAUAAAUGUUUUUACAAUUUUGAUAUUAUUAAAAUGUUCUUUAAAAGUGCUUACCUUGCCUGUGCCAUUAUAGGUAAUAAAUUAUAUAGAUAUAAAUGUUCAUUGUAAUCAUGGCUAUCAUGUAUAUGUUUGCUGUGCACAUAAAUGGGGGUAAAUCAUUUUUAAAUUUAUUCAAUAUGUUUAAAAUUUUACUAGAGAAAAAUCUGAUUUUUUUAAAUUAAUGUACAUAAAUGUAUUUUUAAAAAAUAAAAUAUUUGGUGCUUUGGAUUUUUCACUUUUACAAAAUUCAUUCUUACUGUAGACUUCAAGAAUAAAUGUAUACUGGUGCUGUUCGUUGUGAAAAAUGUUGCUUAUGACAACGCAUGUGCAUUUAUUGUAUAUUUUUUAAAAUAAAGUAUAAAAGUUUACACACAGUGUAGUUUUUAUUUUUAUUUUCAAGAGUAUUUAUUUAUCGUGUAAGAAGCAAAUUGAGAAUACAGCUAUAAUGUAUAAAAAACCCUCAAAGUUAAAAACUUGGCAUUAUGCUAAAUUUCCUUUGAUCAGAAGCUGACCACUUCAAGUGCCUCUGGUGUCGCUGGAAGAAGGUCCUCCAUUGUGCAUGUGGCAGGGCUCAGUCUGCAUUGUAGUAAGUGCUCUGUGGUUUGCUCUUCUCCACACUCGCAUGCCAUGGACUCCACUUUAUAGCCCUAUUUCUUAAGAUUGGCUCUGCAUCUUGUGGUACCAGAGCACAGUCUGUUCAGUACCUUCCAAGUCGCCCAGUCUUCUGUGUGCCCAAGAGGGAGUUUCUCAUCCAGAAUCACUGAUUGAGAUUCCAAGUUUUUACCUGCCACUUUUGAACUCUCGCUUGCUGAGGUGUUCCUGUGAAUAUCUAUGUAGAUUUUAGGAAGAUAUUUCUUGACUGAAGUUGUUGGCAUGGCAGAUGAUAUCAGCCUUGGUCCUUUCAUUGCUGGUUGCUACUUCCCGGCGGAUAUUGGGUGGUGCAAUAACAGCUAAACAGUAUAAUUUCUCCAGAGGUGUUGGGCGUAAGCAUCCUAUGAUAAUCCAGCAUGUCAGAAGCGACUUCAGAUCGCUUCUGGUUUGAGAGAAUUGGCUGUCUACAGAGAUGUUGCCCAGGGGACGCCUAGAUAUGUUACUGGGAAGCCUCUCUCAUGUCCCCGCAAGUUAGAGCUGACAGACGGAAGCUCACCCCAUCUCAGGUCAGCAAAUGAGCUGCUGAGGAGGACUGCAAUCUUUGCUUGGGGUGGGGUUCUUAAAGGGAAAGGGUGUAAAUAAGGUUCCCUCCAACAGAAAACUACACAAUUUGAGACAGACAUCAUUUUGCAACACAGUAAUUCAGCUUUCCUAGAAAACCAGAGAUCAAACCAACUCUUUAUAAGACACACAGACAUAUACCUAAAUUAUAAUAAAGACAUGUGCAGGGGACCCAACAUAUUUUCAUGAAAACUUUUCAUUUUUAUUUUUUAAAAAUAUAUAAUUUAUUGCUUAUUUCACAUAGACUCAGAGGUUUCUCAUUACAUGACGCGCACACACUACAGCUGGCACACUAAUGUGUCACGAUACAGUUUGGAAAGCUGCAUUAGUAGGUGUACUUUUGUCAUGCAAGCAUGAGAAACCUUUAUGAAACACUCGGUCCCAAUUUGCAUGUGUUUUUAUGCAACAAAGGCGUCAAUAUUAGUAACCUUAUUAAUAUUGGUAUCUGUCACAUAUUGUGUCUCAGAACUGACAAAAAUCAUGGAAAUGUACAUUAUCUUACAAAUUACAGACUUAAAAAUAUAUAAAAGGUUUUAAUGAGAUACGUUAUGUCCCCCAUACAUUUCGUUAUUACAAUUUAUAUAUGUGUCAGUAUCUCUCAUAAUUAUAUAUUUUUUAAAAAUACAAAUGAAAUGCUUUCAUGAACUAUUUGUUUAUUUAUUUAUGUUAUUUCUACCCUGCCGGUCUCACCCAAAAGGACUCAGGCGGCUUACAAGUCUGGCAAAAAUUCAAUGCCAACAAUAACAAUAAAACAAAAACAAUUAAAACAAUAUUAGGCAAUAAUACAUGUAAAAUAGUAUAGAAAAUUUAAAAGCAAAUAAAGUGCAUAAUUUCCAUUCAUCCAAAAACUUUGCUCAUAAUCAUUAGUUCAGACGAGGUGUCCUCAAACCUUUUAAGUGGAGAAUCAGUUCACGGUCCCUCAGACUGUUGGGGGGCUGGACUAUGAUGAAACAGUCCAAAAUUAGGAUUGUUGUUGUGUGCCUUCAAGUCAUUUCAGACUUAGGUCAACCCUAAGUCUAAAGUUUAGGACAGGUAAAAAUGACUGGCCAGCUCCCACCUGCCUUUCGUUUCAAGGCCGUGUUUGAUGAAUGAAACAAAUACCACGCACAUCUCGGGCUGUGGCGCAGGCGGGAGAGCAAGCCAGCUGCAAUUAACUGCAAUGAAUCACUCUGACCAGGAGGUCAUGAGUUCGAGGCCCGCUCGGAGCCUAUGUUUGUUUGUCUUUGUUCUAUGUUAAAAGGCAUUGAAUGUUUGCCUAUAUGUGUAAUGUGAUCCACCCUGAGUCCCCUUCGGGGUGAGAAGGGCGGAAUAUAAAUGCUGUAAAUAAAUACAUAAAUAAAUCUCUACUAUGGCUCAAUUCUAUGUUGCAGUUUGGUGAGGCACUGGCGUUUUCUGGCAGAGAGGGCUUGUAAAAACUACAAUUCCCAUGACUCCAUGGCAGUUAAAGUGGUACCAAACUGCGUUAAUUCUAGAGUAGCUGCACCUCAAGGCUUCAUGUGGCCCACGAUAACAUCCUUCAGUACAGUACAGCUUCACAAUGAUACCAAGGGGCUUUCCACACAUUGACUGGGUUGUUCUUCACAGUAACAAAGAGGGAGAUAUCUUUCUUGGAGCCCGUGAUGGCGCAGUGUGUUAAAGUGCUGAGCUGUUGAACUUGUGGACUGAAAGGUCACAGGUUCGAAUCCGAGGAGCAAAGGGAGCACCCGCUGUUAGUCCCAGCUUCUGCCAACCUAGCAGUUUGAAAACAUGCAAAUGUGAAUAGAUCAAUAGGUACAACUCCAGCAAGAAACAGCGCUCCAUGUGAGGGAGACGUGGGUUUAAAAAGAAUUUUCAAAGAUACUUGUAAUGACUAUAAGUCCCAUAUGUUUUGACUGACGUAAGUUGCAAAAAUCCUAUGUUUGAGGAAGGCCUGCACUUGAGAGAAAAUGCUGAUGUUUGGGGAAAGAGUUGUUCCAGAGAAAAGAAGUUACUUUCAAAUAAUAACAAUACAUCAAGUCGGAACCGGUUCCCAUACGAUUUCGAGCAUAUACUUGCAACAAGUCAGGGUCAAUAACAUGAAAGCACCAUUGUCUAAAGAAUUACAUGUUGUUACAGCAUAGAAAACCAAGGGGGGCCUCCUGCUUUUGACUUUGGAUUAAGAGGAGUAUUUUUACAUCUUUUACAUCCUUGCCCCAUCACAUGCAUUCAUGCUGGCCACAUGACUAGGUGUCUACGAACAACGCCGGCUCUUUGGCUUAGAAAUUGAGAUGAGCACCAACCCCCAGAUUCAGACACGACUGGACUUAAUGUCAGGGAAAAACCUUUACCUUUACUAUCUUUCUCUGAUGAGAGAGACAUUUCCCAUAGCUCUCCCUUCAGAGAAAUAUAUUUCCCCCCUUUUGAGAUAGCUCCCCCACUCAGAGAUAUAUCCUCCUUUUUAAGAUAGCUCUUCCCUCAGAGAAAGAUAUGUCUCCCCCUUUUUAAAUCGCUGUCGCCUUCGGGGAAAGAUAUAUUUUAAGAUAUCUCUCCUCGACCUCAUAGGCUGUAGG
Long non-coding RNA from Anolis carolinensis (green anole), 4898 nucleotides. The record is from Ensembl. NCBI's taxonomy places the organism in Eukaryota, Metazoa, Chordata, Lepidosauria, Squamata, Anolidae.